This 301-nucleotide ribosomal RNA is filed under the name uncultured bacterium. RNAcentral describes it as "partial 16S ribosomal RNA". It matches the Rfam family "Bacterial small subunit ribosomal RNA", at positions 509 to 809 of the family's 1533-position model. The record is from RNAcentral.
CAGUAGCCGCGGUAAUACGUAGGUGGCGAGCGUUGUCCGGAAUCAUUGGGCGUAAAGGGAGCGCAGGCGGGCAUGUAAGUCCAUCUUAAAAGUGCGGGGCUCAACCCCGUGAGGGGAUGGAAACUGUAUGCCUUGAGUGCAGGAGAGGAAAGCGGAAUUCCCAGUGUAGCGGUGAAAUGCGUAGAUAUUGGGAGGAACACCAGUGGCGAAGGCGGCUUUCUGGACUGUAACUGACGCUGAGGCUCGAAAGCCAGGGGAGCGAACGGGAUUAGAUACCCCAGUAGUCCCUGUCUCUUAUACA